This 366-nucleotide ribosomal RNA is filed under the name Triticum aestivum (bread wheat). Its description in RNAcentral is "partial small subunit ribosomal RNA". The record is from RNAcentral. Lineage: Eukaryota; Viridiplantae; Streptophyta; Magnoliopsida; Poales; Poaceae.
ACUGGGAUCAUCCUUAAGCUUGAUUUCAAAAAAGCUUACGACAAAGUCAAUUGGGAUUUCCUUCUUGAUUUUCAUGCUAAGAGAGGGUUCAAUACUAAGUGGUGUGGGUGGGUAUCUCAGAUCCUUCCUGAUGGCACGGUUAGUGUCAAGAUCAAUGAUGAAAUUGGGCCCUAUAUGAAAAGUGCCAAAGGGGUGCGUCAAGGUGACCCUCAUUCCCCUUUUCUGUUCAAUUUGGUCGCUGAGUGUUUGACCAAGAUGGUCCUGGCUGCCCAAAAAAAUAAGAUGUUUGAGGGGCUAGCUCCUGAUCUCAUUGAGGGGGGAGUGGGGAUUUUGCAGUAUGCAAACGACACAGUAAUAUGCUUCUCC